AUUGAACUUUAGGGGUGUUUCCCACAAUGGUGAAACUGAGAAUUACCCUUUGAACUUGAGGCGGAUGAUACCGACGUAAGGAAAAGUGAGCAGCCGUUU
This 99-nucleotide non-coding RNA is filed under the name Fluviicola sp. RNAcentral's name for it is "TPP sequence". It matches the Rfam family "TPP riboswitch aptamer (THI element)". Rfam says of the family: Vitamin B(1) in its active form thiamin pyrophosphate (TPP) is an essential coenzyme that is synthesised by coupling of pyrimidine and thiazole moieties in bacteria. The previously detected thiamin-regulatory element, thi box was extended, resulting in a new, highly conserved RNA secondary structure, the THI element, which is widely distributed in eubacteria and also occurs in some archaea. Lineage: Bacteria; Pseudomonadati; Bacteroidota; Flavobacteriia; Flavobacteriales; Crocinitomicaceae. The record is from RNAcentral.